CUACGUGCCAGCAGCCGCGGUAAUACGGAGGAUGCGAGCGUUAUCCGGAUUUAUUGGGUUUAAAGGGUGCGUAGGUUGUUCGGUAAGUCAGCGGUGAAACCUGAGCGCUCAACGUUCAGCCUGCCGUUGAAACUGCCGGGCUUGAGUUCAGUGGCAGCAGGCGGAAUUCGUGGUGUAGCGGUGAAAUGCAUAGAUAUCACGAGGAACUCCGAUUGCGAAGGCAGCUUGCCAUACUGCGACUGACACUGAAGCACGAAGGCGUGGGUAUCAAACAGGAUUAGAUACCCUGGUAGUCCACGCAGUAAACGAUGAUUACUAGGAGUUUGCGAUAUACCGUCAAGCUUCCACAGCGAAAGCGUUAAGUAAUCCACCUGGGGAGUACGCCGGCAACGGUGAAACUCAAAGGAAUUGACGGGGGCCCGCACAAGCGGAGGAACAUGUGGUUUAAUUCGAUGAUACGCGAGGAACCUUACUCGGGAUUGAA
This 484-nucleotide ribosomal RNA is filed under the name uncultured bacterium. RNAcentral describes it as "bacterial SSU rRNA". It matches the Rfam family "Bacterial small subunit ribosomal RNA", at positions 501 to 985 of the family's 1533-position model. The record is from RNAcentral.